CCUACGGGGGGCAGCAGUCGAGAAUCAUUCACAAUGGGGGAAACCCUGAUGGUGCGACGCCGCGUGGGGGAAUGAAGGUCUUCGGAUGGUAAACCCCUGUCAUGUGGGAGCAAAUUAAAAAGAUAGUACCACAAGAGGAAGAGACGGCUAACUCUGUGCCAGCAGCCGCGGUAAUACAGAGGUCUCAAGCGUUGUUCGGAAUCACUGGGCGUAAAGCGUGCGUAGGCUGUUACGUAAGUCGUGUGUGAAAGGCGCGGGCUCAACCCGCGGACGGCACAUGAUACUGCGAGACUAGAGUAAUGGAGGGGGAACCGGAAUUCUCGGUGUAGCAGUGAAAUGCGUAGAUAUCGAGAGGAACACUCGUGGCGAAGGCGGGUUCCUGGACAUUAACUGACGCUGAGUCACGAAGGCCAGGGGAGCGAAAGGGAUUAGAUACCCCAGUAGUC
This 446-nucleotide ribosomal RNA is filed under the name uncultured bacterium. RNAcentral describes it as "partial 16S ribosomal RNA". It matches the Rfam family "Bacterial small subunit ribosomal RNA", at positions 338 to 795 of the family's 1533-position model. The record is from RNAcentral.